GCUGUUAGUUUUGGGACUGAUGGAGAGUUCUGGAGCAGUGAGAGCUCAGUGUGGAAGCCCUUGGUCUGAUGGGGCUUCAGGGAACAUUUCCUGGAUCCAUCCUGAACAAAGUCUUGAAAUACAGAAUAUGGAUUUAGAAUGCGAAGUCUCUAAGUCAAGGGAAAGGUCUAGGUCGAACAGUGGUGCCCUUCAACAAGUAAUACCCUACAUCUCAGCCAAAGAAUCUAUCAGUGAAUCCAUGGAUGGAUGCAUGAGGGAUCAGACAGCCCCUGUCCCACUAUGUCUGGCUCUAUGGAAAUGUGGGACUGGUGACACCCUCCUUCUCACAGUAUUAUAAGUAAAUGCAGCAGAGAGUCCACUCUUGAAGCUUGUGACUGGGAGGAAGAAAGCAUGGAGAGGAAGUAUGCAUUCAGAUCCACAGAGGAAAAUGGUAACCUUUGAAGUCUUCCCACAAAUCCCUAAACUAGGCCUAAGGCCAGAAGAGUUCUAUAUCAGAACGUUUUGGGAAUCGUCUUCAAAACCGGAAUCCAUUUGGCCAAUAAAGAGUCUAUUUGAAUUACAAA
This is a long non-coding RNA of Homo sapiens (human), 563 nucleotides long. The record is from Ensembl. NCBI's taxonomy places the organism in Eukaryota, Metazoa, Chordata, Mammalia, Primates, Hominidae.